This 301-nucleotide ribosomal RNA is filed under the name uncultured bacterium. RNAcentral describes it as "partial 16S ribosomal RNA". It matches the Rfam family "Bacterial small subunit ribosomal RNA", at positions 509 to 807 of the family's 1533-position model. The record is from RNAcentral.
CAGUAGCCGCGGUAAUACAGAGGGUGCAAGCGUUAAUCGGAUUUACUGGGCGUAAAGGGCGCGUAGGUGGUUAUGUAAGUGAGAUGUGAAAUCCCCGGGCUCAACCUGGGAACUGCAUCUUAUACUGCGUAGCUGGAGUGCAGUAGAGGGUAGUGGAAUUUCCGGUGUAGCGGUGAAAUGCGUAGAUAUCGGAAGGAACACCUGUGGCGAAAGCGGCUCACUGGACAAUAACUGACGCUGACGCACGAAAGCUAGGGGAGCAAACAGGAUUAGAUACCCCCGUAGUCCCUGUCUCUUAUAC